CGGGUGAGUAUAAUGUGGGUAUCUGCCUUUUGGUCUGGAAUAACACGGGGAAACUUGUGCUAAUACCGGAUAAGCCUUUACAGGGAAAGUUUUAAUGCCAAAAGAUGAGCCCGCACUUGAUUAGCUAGUUGGUAAGGUAAAAGCUUACCAAGGCAACGAUCAAUAGCUGUUCUUAGAGGAAGACCAGCCACAUUGGGACUGAGACACGGCCCAAACUCCUACGGGAGGCAGCAGUAGGGAAUCUUGCACAAUGGGGGAAACCCUGAUGCAGCGAUGCCGCGUGAGUGAAGAAGGCCUUUGGGUUGUAAAACUCUUUCGUCGGGGAAGAAAAUGACUGUACCCGAAUAAGAAGGUCCGGCUAACUUCGUGCCAGCAGCCGCGGUAAUACGAAGGGACCUAGCGUAGUUCGGAAUUACUGGGCUUAAAGAGCUCGUAGGUGGUUAAAAAAGUUGAUGGUGAAAUCCCAAGGCUUAACCUUGGAACUGCCAUCAAAACUUUUUAGCUAGAGUAUGAUAG
Molecule: ribosomal RNA, 516 nt
Filed under: uncultured Pelagibacterales bacterium
Lineage: Bacteria; Pseudomonadati; Pseudomonadota; Alphaproteobacteria; Candidatus Pelagibacterales
Description: bacterial SSU rRNA
Rfam family: Bacterial small subunit ribosomal RNA
Source: RNAcentral